Molecule: ribosomal RNA, 755 nt
Filed under: uncultured bacterium
Lineage: Bacteria
Description: bacterial SSU rRNA
Rfam family: Bacterial small subunit ribosomal RNA
Source: RNAcentral
AGAGUUUGAUCAUGGCUCAGGAUCAACGCUGGCGGCGUGCCUAACGCAUGUAAGUCGAACGCAGGGUCUUCGGACCUUGAGUGGCGAACGGCUGAGGAACACGUACGAACCUGCCCGCUUGUGGGGAAUAACGCACCGAAAGGUGUGCUAAUACCGCGUACGCUCACACGAAAGUGUGAGGAAAGUCGCAAGACGCUGGCGGAGGGGCGUGCGGCCCAUCAGGUCGUUGGUGGGGUAAUGGCCUACCAAGCCGAUGACGGGUAGCUGGUCUGUGAGGACGAUCAGCCAGACUGGGACUGCGAAACGGCCCAGACACCUACGGGUGGCAGCAGCGAGGAAUCUUCCACAAUGGGCGAAAGCCCGAUGGAGCAACGCCGCGUGGAGGACGACGGCCUUCGGGUUGUAAACUCCUUUCGGAGGGGAUGAAACGGACAGUACCCUCAGAAGAAGCCCCGGCUAACUCUGUGCCAGCAGCCGCGGUAAUACAGAGGGGGCAAGCGUUGUCCGGAAUUACUGGGCGUACAGCGCGCGCAGGCGGACCGCGACGUGCCGUGUGACAAGCCACUGCUCAACAGUGGAGGGCCAUGGUACACGAGCAGUCUGGAGGCAGGGAGAGGGAUGUGGAAUGCCCGGUGGAGCGGUGAAAUGCGUAGAGAUCGGGCGGAACACCGCGGCGAAGGCGGCAUCCUGGUCCUGUUCUGACGCUGAGGCGCGAGAGCGUGGGGAGCAAACUGGAUUAGAUACCCUAGUAGUCC